RNAcentral lists this ribosomal RNA (525 nucleotides) under Triticum aestivum (bread wheat). RNAcentral's name for it is "partial small subunit ribosomal RNA". The record is from RNAcentral. Lineage: Eukaryota; Viridiplantae; Streptophyta; Magnoliopsida; Poales; Poaceae.
UACCUUCAUCGAGGAGUCAUUCUUACCAAGGAUAACUUUAUUAAGAGGAAUUAGCAUGGAAGUACAGAAUGUGUUUUUUGUCAUCAAGAUGAAAUAAUAAAACUCUUGUUUUGCCAAUGCAAAUUUGCUCGUUCUAUAUGGCCAGUCAUCCAAGUAGCUUCUGACCUGUAUCCUUCAUGUGGUGUUGCUAAUAUAUUUGGCAUACGUGGGAUUGAUCACAGGUUUAGAAUUCUUCUCAGGAUGGGAGCACUUGCCAUUAUUUGGUCCUUUUGCCUAUGUAGAAAUUAUAAGAUUUUUAACGAUAAAAGUACUUCUCCUAUGCAGGUUAUUUACAGAUGUACAGGUACACUUCGUUUAUGGUCGUCUUUACAAUGUGUGGUGAAUCGUGACCUGUUUACGGAGGUUUCUACACGAGAAGGUAUUUUUCCUAACAUGGAUAGCAACAUGAUCCUAGGAUUGGCCUUCCCAAGGGUUAGGCGUCAUACAGUCUUCAUGAUUACUUGUAUUUUGCCUUUUAUUUUUUGA